GACGAACCGUGCGAACGUUGUUCGGAAUCACUGGGCAUAAAGGGCGCGUAGGCGGCUUAUCAAGUCAGGGGUGAAAUCCGGCAGCUCAACUGUCGAAGUGCCUUUGAUACUGAUGAGCUCGAGGGAGGUAGGGGUAUGCGGAACUUCCGGUGGAGCGGUGAAAUGCGUUGAUAUCGGAAGGAACGCCGGUGGCGAAAGCGGCGUACUGGACCUCUUCUGACGCUGAGGCGCGAAAGCUAGGGGAGCAAACGGG
Molecule: ribosomal RNA, 253 nt
Filed under: uncultured bacterium
Lineage: Bacteria
Description: partial 16S ribosomal RNA
Rfam family: Bacterial small subunit ribosomal RNA
Source: RNAcentral